UGGGGAAUUUUGGACAAUGGGCGAAAGCCUGAUCCAGCAAUGCCGCGUGUGUGAAGAAGGCCUUCGGGUUGUAAAGCACUUUUGUCCGGAAAGAAAUCCUUGGCUCUAAUACAGUCGGGGGAUGACGGUACCGGAAGAAUAAGCACCGGCUAACUACGUGCCAGCAGCCGCGGUAAUACGUAGGGUGCAAGCGUUAAUCGGAAUUACUGGGCGUAAAGCGUGCGCAGGCGGUUUGCUAAGACCGAUGUGAAAUCCCCGGGCUCAACCUGGGAACUGCAUUGGUGACUGGCAGGCUAGAGUAUGGCAGAGGGGGGUAGAAUUCCACGUGUAGCAGUGAAAUGCGUAGAGAUGUGGAGGAAUACCGAUGGCGAAGGCAGCCCCCUGGGCCAAUACUGACGCUCAUGCACGAAAGCGUGGGGAGCAAACAGGAUUAGAUACCCUGGUAGUCCACGCCCUAAACGAUGUCAACUAGUUGUUGGGGGAUUCAUUUCCUUAGUAACGUAGCUAACGCGUGAAGUUGACCGCCUGGGGAGUAC
Molecule: ribosomal RNA, 536 nt
Filed under: uncultured bacterium
Lineage: Bacteria
Description: partial 16S ribosomal RNA
Rfam family: Bacterial small subunit ribosomal RNA
Source: RNAcentral